UACAGGGGGUGCAAGCGUUGCUCGGAAUUAUUGGGCGUAAAGCGCGCGUAGGCGGCCGCUUAAGUCGGAUGUGAAAGCCCCUGGCUCAACUGGGGAAGUGCACCCGAAACUGAGUGGCUUGAGUACUAAAGAGGGUCGCGGAAUUCCCGGUGUAGAGGUGAAAUUCGUAGAUAUCGGGAGGAACACCGGUGGCGAAGGCGGCGACCUGGGUAGAUACUGACGCUGAGGCGCGAAAGCGUGGGGAGCAAACAGG
Molecule: ribosomal RNA, 253 nt
Filed under: uncultured bacterium
Lineage: Bacteria
Description: partial 16S ribosomal RNA
Rfam family: Bacterial small subunit ribosomal RNA
Source: RNAcentral